GACGAACGCUGGCGGCGUGCUUAACACAUGCAAGUCGAACGGAAAGGCCUGCUUUCCCUUGUGGAUUGCGGGUACUCGAGUGGCGAACGGGUGAGUAACACGUGAGUGAUCUGCCCCCAACUUGGGUAUAAGCCUGGGAAACUGGGUCUAAUUCCCGAUAGGACUGCAGGGUGGUGCCUGUGGUGGAAAACGAUUUUCUAGUGGUUGGGGAUGAGCUCGCGGCCUAUCAGCUUGUUGGUGGGGUAAUGGCCUACCAAGGCGGCGACGGGUAGCCGGCCUGAGAGGGUGGACCGCCACAUUGGGACUGAGAUACGGCCCCGACUCCUACGGGAGGCAGCAGUGGGGAAUAUUGCACAAUGGGCGGAAGCCUGAUGCAGCGACGCCGCGUGGGGGAUGACGGCCUUCGGGUUGUAAACUCCUUUCGACCGCGAGGAAGCCACCUGGUUGGAAGGGUGGUGACGGUAGUGGUAGAAGAAGCACCGGCUAACUACGUG
RNAcentral lists this ribosomal RNA (494 nucleotides) under uncultured bacterium. RNAcentral describes it as "partial 16S ribosomal RNA". It matches the Rfam family "Bacterial small subunit ribosomal RNA", at positions 28 to 507 of the family's 1533-position model. The record is from RNAcentral.